AUUGAACGCUGGCGGCAGGCCUAACACAUGCAAGUCGAGCGGAUGAAGGGAGCUUGCUCCUGGAUUCAGCGGCGGACGGGUGAGUAAUGCCUAGGAAUCUGCCUGGUAGUGGGGGAUAACGUCCGGAAACGGGCGCUAAUACCGCAUACGUCCUGAGGGAGAAAGUGGGGGAUCUUCGGACCUCACGCUAUCAGAUGAGCCUAGGUCGGAUUAGCUAGUUGGUGGGGUAAAGGCCUACCAAGGCGACGAUCCGUAACUGGUCUGAGAGGAUGAUCAGUCACACUGGAACUGAGACACGGUCCAGACUCCUACGGGAGGCAGCAGCGGGGAAUAUUGGACAAUGGGCGAAAGCCUGAUCCAGCCAUGCCGCGUGUGUGAAGAAGGUCUUCGGAUUGUAAAGCACUUUAAGUUGGGAGGAGGGGCAGUAAGUUAAUACCUUGCUGUUUUGACGUUACCAACAGAAUAAGCACCGGCUAACUUCGU
RNAcentral lists this ribosomal RNA (483 nucleotides) under uncultured bacterium. RNAcentral describes it as "partial 16S ribosomal RNA". It matches the Rfam family "Bacterial small subunit ribosomal RNA", at positions 30 to 506 of the family's 1533-position model. The record is from RNAcentral.